AGAGUUUGAUCAUGGCUCAGGAUGAACGCUGGCGGUAUGCCUAACACAUGCAAGUCGAACGAUGUCUUCGGACAUAGUGGCGGACGGGUGAGUAACGCGUGAGAAUCUGCCUCUAGGAUGGGGAUAACGGUUGGAAACGACCGCUAACACCCAAUAUGCCGUAAGGUGAAAAAUUUAUUGCCUGGAGAGGAGCUCGCGUCUGAUUAGCUAGUUGGUGGGGUAAGAGCUCACCAAGGCUUCGAUCAGUAGCUGGUCUGAGAGGAUGAGCAGCCACACUGGGACUGAGACACGGCCCAGACUCCUACGGGAGGCAGCAGUGGGGAAUUUUCCGCAAUGGGCGAAAGCCUGACGGAGCAAUACCGCGUGAGGGAGGAAUGCCUUUGGGUUGUAAACCUCUUUUCUCAGGGAAGAAGAUCUGACGGUACCUGAGGAAUAAGUAUCGGCUAACUCCGUGCCAGCAGCCGCGGUAAUACGGAGGAUGCAAGCGUUAUCCGGAAUCAUUGGGCGUAAAGCGUCCGCAGGUGGUUUCCAAAGUCUGCUGUUAAAGACUGGAGCUCAACUCCGGAACGGCGGUGGAAACUUGGAAACUAGAGUUCGGUAGGGGUAGCAGGAAUUCCCAGUGUAGCGGUGAAAUGCGUAGAUAUUGGGAAGAACAUCGGUGGCGAANGCGUGCUACUGGACCGUAACUGACACUCGGGGACGAAAGCUAGGGGAGCGAAAGGGAUUAGAUACCCCUGUAGUCCUAGCUGUAAACGAUGGAAACUAGGUGUGG
Molecule: ribosomal RNA, 772 nt
Filed under: uncultured marine microorganism
Description: bacterial SSU rRNA
Rfam family: Bacterial small subunit ribosomal RNA
Source: RNAcentral